Megachile rotundata (alfalfa leafcutting bee) is the source of this 573-nucleotide long non-coding RNA. The record is from RefSeq and is a predicted model, not a curated record. Lineage: Eukaryota; Metazoa; Arthropoda; Insecta; Hymenoptera; Megachilidae.
AUACAAAACAGAUUGAAAUCUUCAAUAGGGUAUUCUCUUUCGGACAAGGACGACAUCUUGUACAUGAAAAGUAAAAAAUAUAUAAUACUUAAUAUAAAGUACAUGGGCACAAUAUUAGAAUAACAUGUCGAUUUUUAAAUGCUGUGCAUAAUUAGAGAUCUAAGAAUCCAGAGGUAUAGAAAUCUAGAGCACAUUUCAUGAGAUGAAAGUUAUAAAGGUGCAAAGUAAGCAUUUUUUUAUUUACGCACCAAUGAUCUUUAUUACAUUUUCGUAUUACACUCUACUAUAUCGACUGGAAUUAGUAAAUCACAGCGCUUCUGGUGUUUUCUGGAUGGUUCAAAUGAUGAACCUCUACUGGUCCCAGGAAUUGAUGUACCUGUAAAUUUGAGAAGCAUAUGUAAUGAUAAUGUUUUGGCAACAGUGAGUGAAAUAUUUAGAAUAUUUAUUAGGUCGCCAAAGAGGAAAGUACUAUGGAACAUAAAAAAAGUCAAAGUCAAAAUUUUCUGUGCUUUCUGCGCUUGUUUAAAAUUUAUAGAGUCCGCGUCUUUGUAUCUCUCGGUAAUAAGAGAAAUA